Molecule: ribosomal RNA, 253 nt
Filed under: uncultured bacterium
Lineage: Bacteria
Description: partial 16S ribosomal RNA
Rfam family: Bacterial small subunit ribosomal RNA
Source: RNAcentral
UACGAAGGGGGUUAGCGUUGUUCGGAUUUACUGGGCGUAAAGAGCGCGCAGGCGGUCGAUUUAGUCGCGUGUGAAAGCCCCCGGCUCAACUGGGGAGGGUCACGCGAUACUGAUCGACUCGAAGGCAGGAGAGGGUAGUGGAAUUCCCGGUGUAGUGGUGAAAUGCGUAGAUAUCGGGAGGAACACCAGUGGCGAAGGCGACUACCUGGCCUGUUCUUGACGCUGAGGCGCGAAAGCUAGGGGAGCAAACGGG